Molecule: ribosomal RNA, 477 nt
Filed under: Petrodictyon gemma
Lineage: Eukaryota; Bacillariophyta; Bacillariophyceae; Surirellales; Surirellaceae
Description: eukaryotic LSU rRNA
Rfam family: Eukaryotic large subunit ribosomal RNA
Source: RNAcentral
UUACUCAGCGGAGGAAAAGAAACAGCAAUGGAUGGACACAGUAACGGCGAGUGAAGUGUCCUGAGCCCAUACCUUAAUCACUGUUGCAGUGAGUUGUGGUUAUGCCUUUCUUGUGUUUUGCUGCUACAUUAAGUCCUUUGGAACAAGGCAGUCUAUGAGGUGAUACUCCUGUAUAUGUGGCAGCAGCUUAGCAGGAUUGGAUGUUGAGUCGAGAUGUUUGGGAUUACAGCUCUAAUGGGUGGUGAAUUCUAUCCAAGGCUAAAUAUAGGAUGGAGACCAAUAGCGUAAAAGUACCGUGAGGGAAAGAUGCAAAGCCAUGCGAAAGCACUUUUAAAAAGCACCUGAAAUUGUCGAGCUAUAAACAAAGAAAUACAGAACAGCCUUGAGUGUUUUGGUUAGCGGCAUUUUGCUGUUGGCUGAUUACACUCAUCUACUCUGAGUGUAGUUCCUGCCUAGGGCCACGUGUCCUUUUCGGGG